RNAcentral lists this long non-coding RNA (282 nucleotides) under Mytilus galloprovincialis (Mediterranean mussel). Lineage: Eukaryota; Metazoa; Mollusca; Bivalvia; Mytilida; Mytilidae. The record is from RNAcentral.
CACCGUGCUCGUUUUCGGUAUAUAAGCCAUUGAAAUUUUGGCGGGAAAAUGUUCUCUCUUGACUUUUCAUAGCUUUAUCAUUGACAAGUUAAAGUCCUCAAAAACUAUUAAAAAGUAAUUAAAAUUUUAAAAGACUUUAACAGACAGCUUAUCAUUAUACAUGUAAAAGAAUUAUAAAAAGAAAAAUGGGGGUCACCGGGCAAAAUUUGUUAAUGCAUUCAAAUGGAUAAAACCAGAGGAUUCCGAAAAUCAGACCAAAAUUCCAAAACAUGACAAGCCAGC